UUGCAAAGGUAGCAUAAUAAUAAGUUUAUUAAUUGUAAAAUUGUAUGAACGAAGUUAUAAAGAUUAUUUUGUCUUUAUUUUAAUUUUUGAAUUUUAUUUUUUUAUGAAAAAGUUAAAAUUUUUUAAUAAGACGAGAAGACCCUAUAAAUCUUUAUAUUUUAAUAAGUUUAUUUGAGUUAAAAUUUGUUAAAAUUUUGUUGGGGCGAUGGGUGAAAAAUAAAACUUUACUUGUAUAAAUGUUUUAUAAAAAUAAGAAAUUUUUUUGAUCCUUUUUGAAGAUUAAAAGAAUAAGUUACUUUAGGGAUAACAGCGUAAUUGUUU
This 321-nucleotide ribosomal RNA is filed under the name Facetotecta sp. RNAcentral's name for it is "partial large subunit ribosomal RNA". The record is from RNAcentral. Lineage: Eukaryota; Metazoa; Arthropoda; Thecostraca.